UUAGGGUGACAUGGGAUGGAACACUUUUAGGGAAAGACUAGUAAAGGCAACCUUGAGAUAUAAAGUGAGACUGGAGCGAACGGAGGAUGCAAGACUAGCACGAAAAGUAUACCUGUGGAAUAUAAGAGAUGGCAAAUGGGCGAAUAAAUGUGGGGGAAUGAUAGACAGGAAUGUUGCGCUAAGUAGAUGGGUAUACCGACUCUGAAGAUAGGCAAAAUAUGUUUGAAUGGAGAAUAACAAAAACAUAAAUGGAGAAGGUUUUGAGUGGGAUCUAAGAAAAUGGAAGAAUGUGAUAGAUAUGGCAGUUAAAGAUGAGGGAUUGAGCAAGUGGAAGAAUGAGAUGGAAAGAAAGGAAACCCUCGACUGGUACAGUGAGAAAGAGGCUCCAAAGUGUGAGGUGUGGUAUGAGGGAAGCCUGGGAGGUGAUCUUCUUUUCCGUGCUAGAGCGCAGUGUCUGGAUGUGAAUGCAAGGAACUAUAGAUGGUCUGAGUCCCGCAGCAAAGUGUGCCAGAUGUGUGACAGGGGUGUGGACGAGACUGUGCAGCAUGUAGUGUUGGAAUGCAAGAAGUAUGACAGGGAGAGAACGAAGAUGAUGCAUGUGUUUUUGAGCGAGAUGGGACGUGAUGUAAACGGGAGGACUGGAAGGGAGUGGAUGGUGCUGCUGCUGGGGCUCAGUGGAGAGACGAGUGGACGAGUGAUUGAGGCAGUGAAAGAGUUCUUGGAGGGCAUGUGGCGUGAAAGAUAUAGGGAAUGAUAUCUUGCCCCGAGAACAUAGACUUUCCGCAUGUUUUUUGUUUUCUUUUCACAGGAGCUGCCGAUACAAAGGCCUGGCUGGGGAGAAAUCCCGAGCCACCUGUGACAUCAAGAUCAAGAUCAAGAUCAAGAUCAAGAUUUGAUUUUCUCUUCUCUGUUCUUUGGAAACGCACGAUAAAUUAAUCAAGCCAAGGAGAGGGUGUUCCCCGGCUGCCUGGGACGUGACGGGAGAGCCAAAGAGCGACGAGAAGCACCCAGCGCCACCCCACGCUGAGCCAUCUUUCCCUUCAACGAGACUCAGCCACAACACAGAUCAUCAUGUCCCGCACUUUCUAUUUGCUGCUUUUACUUGCCCCCCACGGAGUCCUCCUCACCAGCCAAACGAGAGAACUACAGGUCAGCUUCAUCCACCCUGAGUUCCCUGUUGUCAAGAUUAAGGCCAACUGCGACCCGUCUUCAGGUCGAAAGAUGAUUUUGGAUGUUUACAAGUGCCCCAUGAAUGCAAGUCAACCAUAUUUACCAGUGUCGUUAAAGGGAGUCUGCGAGGAGGAGGGCGGGACACACUGCCUCACCGAAGACCUUGAGCGAGGAUUGCUUCGCUAUAUCAGGAUAUUUUUGGAAAGAAAAAACCUUGAAGUACACGUCUUCCGAGCUCAGCCUGGCCAACGUGACCUUUUUCAGCAGAGAAUUUACGGUUGAAGCCACAUCCUGGUGAGUCUUACCCGUUGAAAAAGCCUCGAAGUUUUUGUAGAAGUUGAUUCCAUUCAGAAGAAAUAAAUCAGUUUAACCCGGUAGCAGCGACGGGCCAAAUUUGUGCCAUGAUAUAAACCCCCAAAAUAGAUGAUACAUAAUCUGAUCACAAAUGCUUUGAUAUAUAUUAUGAAAUGGUUUAUGUGAGGGGUGAUUUUUUUCUCAUUUCUCUCGCUUGGAGGGACCAUUAAGACAUGAUCCCCGCUGCUACUUUAACUGUUUGGGGCAGAUAGUAAUUGCUCGUGUUUGGGGGUCAUUAAAAAAUCAAUCUUUUUUUGGUUAUUUUGACCCCUCCCGCCUUUGUCAUGCCUUUAACACAUGUUCAAACCCACUAGAAAAUUGUGUAACACCAGA
Eriocheir sinensis (Chinese mitten crab) is the source of this 1857-nucleotide long non-coding RNA. RefSeq lists it as uncharacterized. The transcript has 5 exons. Lineage: Eukaryota; Metazoa; Arthropoda; Malacostraca; Decapoda; Varunidae. The record is from RefSeq and is a predicted model, not a curated record.